This 503-nucleotide long non-coding RNA is filed under the name Ursus thibetanus thibetanus. RNAcentral's name for it is "lncRNA (ENSUTTG00000016023.1)". Lineage: Eukaryota; Metazoa; Chordata; Mammalia; Carnivora; Ursidae. The record is from RNAcentral.
UUUUGGUGCUUUAAAGUAUAAACUAACCAGAAACACAUGAUUUCAGUUUCCCAUAAAUCACAGAGGGUUUUGCCUAAGAGAAAAAUGCAUGGCGAAACACAUCACAGAUAAACAGUUUAAGGCGGUAAUCUGGUUGCACAAGUAGGUCAAGGAUUGGGGAAGGUGACAUGCAAAUUUGCAUGCAGGUGGAGCAUGUAGUGGCAUAUUAGCAUCAGCUCACAGUUGGUGAAAGACAGGAUACGAGCAAUGUUGUGUUAAGGGCCAGGAAACCUGGACUACCUGGUAACAGAUUCUGCAGAGAUUUCCGGGUGACUGAGUGGAGAGUGCAGACUCCAGGAGGUGAGUUAUCUGUGGAUUAGACUGGACUUCAUGAUAAGAGAGCAGUUUUCCCCAUGGAAGACUAGAGGCAUAGCAUCAAGAAUUGCAGCUCAGGUUGAGUGAAGACUGGGCAGAAAGGGCAGAUGUUUAGAGCUAGAAGAUUGUUUAACCCUUGCAGGUAAGAU